UUGCAAUGAUGUUGAAACGAAUUACUUCACCUGAACUUUUAGAUGAAGAAAAGCGCUAACCUCUGAGCAAG
This is a small nucleolar RNA of Xenia sp. Carnegie-2017, 71 nucleotides long. The record is from RefSeq and is a predicted model, not a curated record. Lineage: Eukaryota; Metazoa; Cnidaria; Anthozoa; Malacalcyonacea; Xeniidae.